AGAGGAUUGUAUUUCAGCUCACAAAUGACAAUUCUGUUCACUGUCAGGGGUUUGUUUGGAUGAAGAUUGCAACAAAAACGAUGUUGCCUGAGCCCAGAUGAAGCCUUUGGAUGUCAGAAACAGGGAUUUGGGUCACUGAUGUGUUUAUGGUCUAGCUGAAAUCAAGGAGAUUUUGCUAUCAUAUAGAUCUGGCCCUGGAGAAGAGUGGCAUCAUUCAGCUUAUCCUUAGGACAAGGAGAGCUGGAAAUCUGAAUCGACCUUUUGAUCUCAACUCUUUUGUAGGAGCAGCUGUAGGCUGGAGACUGUCUCUGCAUCUCCUGAGCAGUGCACGUGAGGCUGGGUGUGUUGGAGGGUGAGGCACUGCCCUGCAGGAGAAGGAAGCUCCAGCUGAGGCACGAAACUUGUUCAAGGUGUCUUGCUGACCCCAGGACUGGCUGAUUGUCCGUGGCAUCACCUGCAGAGGGACAGCAGGACAUUUAUCCCAUGUCGCCCAGCAGAUUCUUGGAAAGGCUCAGGUCACUUUGUGCACUCAGUGACACAAACAGCGAUGAGCUCACGAAACACUGCACAUCAUAAAACACCUCCUUCAUCUCUGCACGGCUCUGCUUCCCCAGCCCUGGUACUUUUUCUAAAUGUCUAUUUAAUGUCAGCUUCAUUUGUUUUAAUUCACUCCAAUAUUGCAAACCAGCAGCAGCUGAAACACCUAUUUCUGCAAUUAGUGCAAUCUUGCUCCUGCAUGAUAAUCUUUUCUCCAAGCUGCUGCCAGCUCUGAGAAGUGCACUUAGAAGAGAACUGGCUCUCAGUUUGACUUCAGGGUAACUGGAAGUGAUGUAACUUUCAGGAGAAAAUACUGGUCCAAAAAUACCAGGUAAUUUAAUUUUUGGGUGAAGGGACAGACAGUAGAAUUCCAGAUUUCUCCUUUUCUGCGCUGAAAUUGGAGGUUUAAUGCAGUAUUCAGUAAUAAAAAGCUGUCUCUUCAUCACAGGGCUUUGUUCUGUCACUGUGCCAUGCUGACCCAGUGCUUCUCCUGUGAAUUUAGGAGUUAUGGUCAAGCUCUUAGCUGACCUCACCAAACCUUUGUAGCUUCUCCAGACUGAGAAGACUGCUCCAGGAAAGAGCUUGUGUAUCCUGUAGGGAAGGGCAAUCUUUGCAAAGAAAGGUCUUCUCUGGGUUUUAUGUUCCCAGCACAACUCUGACACUGAUAUCUCUUCUGAGGGUCUGAUGAAUGCUCACUGAUUUAUUUGGAAGCUCCCACAGUGACUUUGCCCAUGGAGCCAGGUCUGCAGCUCACCAGACUCCUUCCACAGGACCUAGAGAGGGCUUUUGGUGUUAUCAGCCUCAGGCAGUGCAGAGCAGCACAAAACCAGCCUGGAAGAAUCCAGCUGGAAUUCCAAAGAAUUUGUGCCAGCUAAAAACCCAGGAUUAUUUCACAGACCAGGACAUGUGGCUGUGGUGCUUCCAGAAGAAACAAGAGCUUGUGUGUCACUACAGCAUCACUCAGUGCCUGGCCAGCCCUGGCACGGUGACACACCUGGUGGAUUGGUCACAUCCUCUCUCCUGCAGUGUGGGAGCUUUGCUGGCUGGGUUCAGAGUUGUCACAGGCACAUAAACAAGAUUCAGCACCUCGUGUCAGUCCAACACCAGUGACCAUACUGUCAUGGAGGAGCUCUGGCACCAGGAGAGGGCACCACAAGUCCUGACUCUGUCCCAGUGUGGCCCAGGGGUGGAAUUUCCUACAAUCCAACCCUUUCUGGUCCUUCAUCCCCAUGUCCAGCAGCACCUCAUGAUCUGACUCCGAAUUGUCGGGGUUUUACCCAAAAGAUCUUGCAGCAUCCAGAGCGAGUUAGACUUUCCUGCAGCUAUCACUGAGUGGACAAAGCUCCUCCAGAGCUGCCAUUCCAGGCUGGCAUUACCCAGAGCAUUGAUUAGCAGCUUCAGCAGAGAGCUGGAGAGCUCCUUGAGAGGAGGGAACUGCAGACAAUCCCGCUCCUCCACAAAGGUGUGAGCUUCAUUAGCGAAACAGCGCCCGGGAAUUUGCCUUUCCUCUUUUCCCCUGCCGAGGCUGUGUGAAUUGGCUUGUGAUGGUUUUGUUCUCUGCUGAAAUCUUGCAGUCUGAUUUACAGCCUUUGAACAGGCUGAGGCAAACUGUGCAGCUGAAUAAAGAGGGAGGGAGCAGCGAGUGCACCAAGGGCGCUGGGGAGAAGCAGAGAGGAGCUGCUCCAUGGAUGGACUGCAGAGAAGGUGGGGUAGAAAGCCCUCAGAGAGAUUAAUCAUCUCUUUUGCCCUUUUUGCAAUCAGACACAUUUUCCUGGCCUGCUCACACGAGUCCAUGUGUCUGCCAGCUGCCUCUUGCAAGCUCUGAAAGAAGUCAUUGAGUUUCUCUGAGAAAACUGCCUUGGCUCACGGGCUCAGAACAUCAGACUGACUCCACACAGGGCUGGAGCUCCAAAAAACCACUCUGAUCUGCCAAACAAGGAACUGGAAGGAUGCAUAUUACCCCAGAUGAAAUAACACACUUGGAAUUAUUAUCCCCAGCCUUACAGCACUGAGAGUUUUUGAAUUUCCUCAGGUCCUUCAAAUCACCACUGUCUUCCUGACAUGGUUUAUGUUUUCAGGUCUUUGAUCCUGCAGCUUCAGGAAAUGAAUGAAAUGGAAUUUAAGAAAAUGAAAUGGAGAAACAUAAGGAAUGUCUUCACAAAAUUUGCACCAGGGAAAAUGGGGUAUUUCCUCAGGCAAAACCUCUGCUAUUCAUUCAGCAGGGUGAUGCUGCACAUGCCUACAGGUGGGUACAGGAAUUCACACCAGCAGGCUGUCCUGUGGAUAUGGCCAUCCUAGGAAAGCCUCUGUGAGAGUGAUUUUGGCUCUCUGUGCUUAUUUAAUCUAUCUCCAAAAUAACAUCCUCAUCUUUAUUCAGCUUUGAGGCUGCACAGAGGGAUUCCCUCUCUACCUGCCCUCCUUGCACAUCCAGGAUUCAGCAGCCUUUGGACAGCCUGUUUCCAUAACAACAGAGGAGGAAAAACCUGAGAAAUACUGGGUAACUGCACGCAGUUGGAGUGGCCUCCAGAGGGGCACCAGGCUCCUGAGCCCCCCCAGGCUGGGAGGAGACCCCAGAGAAUUCCCUUCUCCCACCUCCCUUGAGGGAAACUUCAACUCUGUCGAGGUGGGAACCGGAAUGAGCAGCUCAGCUCUGACCCUCACACAGGGGCUGAUGCCUUUGAGCUCCAUCAGUUAAUUUUUAACCAUUAUCCUCCUGCUGUGCAUCCUCUCUGCCUCCUCUUCUCCAGGGCAAUAAUAGACUCAAUGCCCCCCUGUGCAGGCUCUCCAGGCACCCCCUGCUCCCUGGGCACCCUGAGCUGUGUUUAAAGAGCACCCAGAAGUUGUGUGGGAGCCCCAAGGACAAACCUCCCUGGCCAGUGAGACCUUCUGAGUGCCAAGGGCAUCGUGGAACCACAGAACAGAAUCACAGCAUGCUGCUUGUGAUAAACACAACUCCCUGUCCCAUUUUACAUUUCAAUGUGGAACAUUAAAAAUGUGUUUCAGCAUAGGUUUUUUGCAGGAGAAAUUUUGUGGAAUUUACGCCAGUUGACCUUGACAGGAAGAAAAAAAAAAAAAUUACAAAGGAUUUUAUUCAGCAGUUGGUGAGCAAUAGGUCUCAUCCACAUCACUGCAAAAACACCACUGUGCUCAUGGAUUGUCCAGGCAAAGGCUCCACUCUCCAAAUCCCACCUCCACACUGGGCAGGGAUCACAGCAACUGCAGGACCUCUCUGCUGAGGUUUUGUCCAGUGAGUAGCAGCUUUUGUUCAGGAAUAGGAAAUCUUUAUUCCUGGGCCCCUUUAAUCUCUUCCACAAACAAAUGAGAUCGAUGCCGUUGUCCUGACGUGAGUCACGGCUCCAUUUCUCUAAAUAUUGCAGCUUCCUCCUCCUGGGCUUCGUGCCAGUUCUUGCAGGGACCAAAGAUGUGUUUCACACAGCUGUUUUUGUGAGGUGCACUCACUUGUCCUGAUAAAUAUCCUCAUUUCCUCUGCAUGGCAGAGCCCUGGACAGGGGCUGCUCUCCCAUCCUUCCCUGGGAGGACGGGGAGGAUCUGGAGGGUGCCCAGAGAAGUUGUGGCUGUCCCUGGAUCCCUGGAAAUGUCAAAGGCCUGGUUAGACAGGGCUUGGAGCACCCUGGGAUAGAGAAAAGUGUCCCUGCCCAUGGACUGGAUGAGCUCUAAGUACUUCCCAACCCAAACCACUCUGGGAUUCUGUGGAAAAUCAGGAAUACUCUGUUGUGGCAUCACUGGAGCUCAAACCAUCCUUCCACAAAUUCUGUGACAAAAGUGAGGUCCAGUUUUGCCCCAGCUUGGCUCAAGGGAAUCUUCAAUUCUUCUGUUUCUUCAAUUCUUUUCUGCUGGAUGAAACGUUCUCCAGAGCUCGGUCUGUCUGUCCUGAAGCAGAGUACAAACUUGUGUGGAGCUUGCUGGUCCAGCUGGGAAUUAAACCUAAAUCCCCAUCCCCAGGCUGAGCUCUCAUCUCCUGCUGUGCCUGUUUUUCAAGGAAAAGAGACCACGACCUCCUUUUUUGAUGGAAACAUAUGGAAAUAUGUGCUUGGCCAUAGGAUACACGAGUCAGCCCACUCUGUGAAUUGUUUUCCAUCCUGAUCUUUGGACCUGAACCUCUGGAUGAGCCCCUUGCCUAAAUGAUCUUUCAGAUGCACUGCGGUGCUCCUGCUCUUAAAUGUUGUGGAGUUGUUUGGUUUUUUUGGAUUUAUUUGCUUUCAACCUAGAUCUUGCUGCUUUCUUUCAGAAGGACUGUAGGAAACCAACUGGAAAAUAAGAACCAAAUAUUUCCCUGAAUUUGAGCCUAAAUCUCUUGGUGUUUGCACAGCAGACAGGCAGCUCGCUGUAUUUUGGUGUCAGAUUUGUUAUUACAGAUUAGAUCAAUUGUCUGGCUGCAGUAGCAAGUCCCCCCCACCUUGUAAUGCACUUAGUCAGUUGUGAAAUCAUGGACUCAGUGGUGGGAAAACCAGAAAAUUCUCCAUAACCCCUCCAAGCAAUCAAUUUAUGCCCUGAAGCAUGAGAUUUGAUUACCAUUGUUAUUAUCUUAGCUUGCAUAGUUACAAAUGUUAUUAGCAGUCAUAAAAUUAUCCAGCCUUAAAAAAAAUCAGAUUAGAAAAAAAAAAAAAAUCCCAACAUUUCAGUCCAGGUUCUUCAAAGCCUGAAUUCCUGGGAUUGCUUUGAACUGUGAAAAAUGGUAAUUCCUUUAAUUCUCUUUAAAUUUGGUGUCCUUUGAUCACGUGGAUUUCUCCUGGACUCUCAUA
Molecule: long non-coding RNA, 5300 nt
Organism: Passer domesticus (house sparrow)
Lineage: Eukaryota; Metazoa; Chordata; Aves; Passeriformes; Passeridae
Exons: 7
Source: RefSeq, a predicted model, not a curated record